UGGGGAAUGUUCCGCAAUGGACGAAAGUCUGACGGAGCAACGCCGCGUGAGUGAUGACGGUCUUCGGAUUGUAAAGCUCUGUUAAUCGGGACGAAUGGUUUGUGUGCAAAUAGGGCAUAGACAUGACGGUACAGGAAUAGAAAGCCACGGCUAACUACGUGCCAGCAGCCGCGGUAAUACGUAGGAGGCAAGCGUUGUCCGGAAUUAUUGGGCGUAAAGCGCGCGCAGGCGGACUAGCCAGUCAGUCUUAAAAGUUCGGGGCUUAACCCCGUGAUGGGAUUGAAACUACUAGUCUAGAGUAUCGGAGAGGAAAGUGGAAUUCCUAGUGUAGCGGUGAAAUGCGUAGAUAUUAGGGAGAACACCAGUGGCGAAGGCGACUUUCUGGACGAACACUGACGCUGGGGCGCGAAAGCCAGGGGAGCGAACAGG
RNAcentral lists this ribosomal RNA (429 nucleotides) under Verrucomicrobiota bacterium. Its description in RNAcentral is "Verrucomicrobia bacterium partial 16S ribosomal RNA". It matches the Rfam family "Bacterial small subunit ribosomal RNA", at positions 355 to 776 of the family's 1533-position model. Lineage: Bacteria; Pseudomonadati; Verrucomicrobiota. The record is from RNAcentral.